AGCACUCACUGCCACAUGAGGUGUGUCUGUGUAGGAUCAUUUAUUGUCACCCUCCCACACUAUAGUGAACCUCAGCUCCUGGAUUUGAGGUGCAGACUCCAGUGAAAUAGUUUUCUGCAAGGUCUUUCCACUGAAUAUGAACACAAGGAAGGAGAAAGCUGUGACACAGCAAGCAUUACAAAAGGAAACCUGUGUGUAUGACAGCUGUCACCACAUCCUGACACAGCUCAUAUUCCUCACAGAUGGAGAGAAGAUCCUUAGCAUUCCUGCUUUAUAGUAAAGAAAACCACACCGAAGAAGAUUCUUCAGACACAGGAUUCCACAGCCAGCGACAACAGAAGCAUCACACAGAGAGACAUCUUCUCAACAGGCUAGAGGCUUGGGAUCUCUACCUCAACUUGAAGGACUGGCUGUGAUCAUCCCUUUGGCAUGCUGUCCACCUCACACCAAAGCCACCCAACGCUGAGGAUCCCCACUCUCAGGC
This 484-nucleotide long non-coding RNA is filed under the name Cricetulus griseus (Chinese hamster). RNAcentral's name for it is "lncRNA (ENSCGRG00015028964.1)". The record is from RNAcentral. Lineage: Eukaryota; Metazoa; Chordata; Mammalia; Rodentia; Cricetidae.